GCAAACUUGGUCAUUUAGAGGAAGUAAAAGUCGUAACAAGGUUUCCGUAGGUACGUGGACACUAUUUCAAUAUAUUUCCUGCCCUUCCAACAAUUUUCUUGUGUGAAUUUUCUUACUAAUUAAAUUAAUAGGUGAACCUGCGGAAGGAUCAUUACCGAGAGUUGGGUUUCGACCCUCACCCUCAACCCUUUGCAUACCUGUUUUGUUGCUUUGGCGGGCCGACGGGGCUGCCCCCUCCCUUGAGGAGCGGGCCGUCCCGCCGUCGACCCAUGCGGCCGGUGCGCGCUCGCCAGAGGAUUUUCAAACUCUGUAUUAACGUCUGUCGAUUACGGGCCCUCAGGGUCUUAUGAAUUUAAUUCAUGUCAAAACUUUCAACAACGGAUCUCUUGGUUCUGGCAUCGAUGAAGAACGCAGC
Molecule: unclassified non-coding RNA, 415 nt
Filed under: uncultured fungus
Lineage: Eukaryota; Fungi
Description: partial contains small subunit ribosomal RNA, internal transcribed spacer 1, and 5.8S ribosomal RNA
Rfam family: Eukaryotic small subunit ribosomal RNA (bases 1-154)
Source: RNAcentral